UGGGGAAUAUUGCACAAUGGGGGAAACCCUGAUGCAGCGACGCCGCGUGAAGGAAGAAGUAUCUCGGUAUGUAAACUUCUAUCAGCAGGGAAGAUAAUGACGGUACCUGACUAAGAAGCCUCGGCUAACUACGUGCCAGCAGCCGCGGUAAUACGUAGGGGGCAAGCGUUAUCCGGAUUUACUGGGUGUAAAGGGAGCGUAGACGGAACAGCAAGUCUGAUGUGAAAGGCAUGGGCUCAACCUGUGGACUGCAUUGGAAACUGUUGGUCUUGAGUACCGGAGGGGUAAGCGGAAUUCCUAGUGUAGCGGUGAAAUGCUUAGAUAUUGCGCAGAACUCCGAUUGCGAAGGCAGCGUACUGGCGCCUGACUGACGCUGAGGCACGAAAGCGUGGGGAUCGAACAGGAUUAGAUACCC
This 415-nucleotide ribosomal RNA is filed under the name uncultured bacterium. Its description in RNAcentral is "bacterial SSU rRNA". It matches the Rfam family "Bacterial small subunit ribosomal RNA", at positions 355 to 787 of the family's 1533-position model. The record is from RNAcentral.